AUGCAAGUCGAACGAUGAAGCCGCAGCUUGCUGUGGUGGAUUAGUGGCGAACGGGCGAGUAACACGUGAGUAACCUGUCCUUUUCUUUGGGAUAACGGCUGGAAACGGCUGCUAAUACUGGAUAUUCAGGCUGCAUCGCAUGGUGUGGUUUGGAAAGGUUUUUUCUGGGAUUGGGUGGGCUCGCGGCCUAUCAGCUUGUUGGUGGGGUGAUGGCUUACCAAGGCUUUGACGGGUAGCCGGCCUGAGAGGGUGGUCGGUCGCACUGGGACUGAGAUACGGCCCAGACUCCUACGGGAGGCAGCAGUGGGGAAUAUUGCGCAAUGGACGAAAGUUUGAUGCAGCGACGCCGCGUGGAGGGUGUAGGCCUUCGGGUUGUGAACUCCUUCUUCUCGCGAAAAAGGCACAGUUUUGGCUGUGUUGAUGGUAGUGGGGGAAGAAGCGCCGGCUAACUACGUGCCAGCAGCCGCGGUAAUACGUAGGGCGCGAGCGUUGUCCGGAUUUAUUGGGCGUAAAGAGCUCGUAGGUGGUUCGUCGCGUCUGUCGUGAAAGCCAGCAGCUUAACUGUUGGUCUGCGGUGGGUACGGGCGGGCUUGAGUGCGGUAGGGGUGACUGGAAUUCCUGGUGUAGCGGUGGAAUGCGCAGAUAUCAGGAGGAACACCGAUGGCGAAGGC
Molecule: ribosomal RNA, 671 nt
Filed under: uncultured Actinomycetes bacterium
Lineage: Bacteria; Bacillati; Actinomycetota; Actinomycetes
Description: bacterial SSU rRNA
Rfam family: Bacterial small subunit ribosomal RNA
Source: RNAcentral